GAGAAAGUUACAAGAACUGCUAAUUCUUGAUCCCAUACCUAACCAGUAUGGCUUUCUUA
Molecule: transfer RNA, 59 nt
Filed under: Hypsiprymnodon moschatus (musky rat kangaroo)
Lineage: Eukaryota; Metazoa; Chordata; Mammalia; Diprotodontia; Potoroidae
Description: tRNA-Ser
Source: RNAcentral